RNAcentral lists this ribosomal RNA (572 nucleotides) under uncultured bacterium. Its description in RNAcentral is "bacterial SSU rRNA". It matches the Rfam family "Bacterial small subunit ribosomal RNA", at positions 338 to 873 of the family's 1533-position model. The record is from RNAcentral.
CCUACGGGAGGCAGCAGUGGGGAAUAUUGGACAAUGGGCGAAAGCCUGAUCCAGCAAUGCCGCGUGAGUGAUGAAGGCCUUCGGGUCGUAAAGCUCUUUUACCAGGGAUGAUAAUGACAGUACCUGGAGAAUAAGCUCCGGCUAACUCCGUGCCAGCAGCCGCGGUAAUACGGAGGGAGCUAGCGUUGUUCGGAAUUACUGGGCGUAAAGAGUACGUAGGCGGUUAUUCAAGUCAGAGGUGAAAGCCCGGGGCUCAACCCCGGAACUGCCUUUGAAACUAGAUAGCUAGAGUCUUGGAGAGGUUAGUGGAAUUCCGAGUGUAGAGGUGAAAUUCGUAGAUAUUCGGAAGAACACCAGUGGCGAAGGCGACUAACUGGACAAGUACUGACGCUGAGGUACGAAAGCGUGGGGAGCAAACAGGAUUAGAUACCCUGGUAGUCCACGCCGUAAACGAUGAUAACUAGUUGUUCGGUCACUUGGUGACUGAGUGACGCAGCUACGCAUUAAGUUAUCCGUCCGUCGGGUAGGUACGGUCGCGAAGAAUUAAAACUUAAAAGGUAAAGUUAGUACGG